GAUUGAAGAACGCAGUGAAAUGCGAUAAGUAAUGUGAAUUGCAGAAUUCAGUGAAUCAUCGAAUCUUUGAACGCACAUUGCGCCCGCCAGUAUUCUGGCGGGCAUGCCUGUUCGAGCGUCAUUACAACCCUCAGGCCCCCGGGCCUGGCGUUGGGGAUCGGCGGAGCCCCCCGUGGGCACACGCCGUCCCCCAAAUACAGUGGCGGUCCCGCCGCAGCUUCCAUCGCGUAGUAGCUAACACCUCGCGACUGGAGAGCGGCGCGGCCACGCCGUAAAACACCCAACUCUUCUGAAGUUGACCUCGAAUCAGGUAGGAAUACCCGCUGAACUUAAGCAUAUCAAUAAGCGGAGGA
RNAcentral lists this unclassified non-coding RNA (353 nucleotides) under soil metagenome. RNAcentral's name for it is "partial contains 5.8S ribosomal RNA, internal transcribed spacer 2, and large subunit ribosomal RNA". The stretch from base 4 to 121 matches the Rfam family "5.8S ribosomal RNA", at positions 37 to 154 of the family's 154-position model. The record is from RNAcentral.